Molecule: long non-coding RNA, 205 nt
Filed under: Elaeis guineensis (African oil palm)
Lineage: Eukaryota; Viridiplantae; Streptophyta; Magnoliopsida; Arecales; Arecaceae
Description: long non-coding RNA (EGUI_LNC000691)
Source: RNAcentral
GUGAUGGUGACAUAUUGAAAGGGGACGAUUGGUGCUCCAACUCCUAAUAGCAUGGCUCUCAAGGCAUUUUUCCUAAUGGCGCAUGUCUCGUGUCAAAGGGGUAGUUGGAGGAGCUAGGAGGUGACUUCCCCAUAAAUGGAGCUUCCUACCGCUUGUAGCCAAGACUAUCCAAUUGUUCUCCAAGAUGCCACCUUUGCGGUUGUCC